Molecule: ribosomal RNA, 301 nt
Filed under: uncultured bacterium
Lineage: Bacteria
Description: partial 16S ribosomal RNA
Rfam family: Bacterial small subunit ribosomal RNA
Source: RNAcentral
CAGCCGCCACGGUAAUACGUAGGGUGCGAGCGUUAAUCGGAAUUACUGGGCGUAAAGCGUGCGCAGGCGGUUAUAUAAGACAGAUGUGAAAUCCCCGGGCUCAACCUGGGACCUGCAUUUGUGACUGUAUAGCUAGAGUACGGUAGAGGGGGAUGGAAUUCCGCGUGUAGCAGUGAAAUGCGUAGAUAUGCGGAGGAACACCGAUGGCGAAGGCAAUCCCCUGGACCUGUACUGACGCUCAUGCACGAAAGCGUGGGGAUCAAACAGGAUUAGAUACCCCUGUAGUCCCUGUCUCUUAUAC